GAUGAACGCUGGCGGCGUGCCUAAUACAUGCAAGUCGAACGAAACUUCUUUAUCACCGAGUGCUUGCACUCACCGAUAAAGAGUUGAGUGGCGAACGGGUGAGUAACACGUGGGCAACCUGCCCAAAAGAGGGGGAUAACACUUGGAAACAGGUGCUAAUACCGCAUAACCAUAGUUACCGCAUGGUAACUAUGUAAAAGGUGGCUAUACUACCGCUUUUGGAUGGGCCCGCGGCGCAUUAGCUAGUUGGUAGGGUAAAGGCUUACCAAGGCAAUGAUGCGUAGCCGAAUUGAGAGGUUGAUCGGCCACAUUGGGACUGAGACACGGCCCAAACUCCUACGGGAGGCAGCAGUAGGGAAUCUUCCACAAUGGGCGAAAGCCUGAUGGUGCAACGCCGCGUGGGUGAAGAAGGUCUUCGGAUCGUAAAACCCUGUUGUUAGAGAAGAAAGUGCGUGAGAGUAACUGUUCACGUUUCGACGGUAUCUAACCAGAAAGCCACUGCUAACUACGUG
This 512-nucleotide ribosomal RNA is filed under the name uncultured bacterium. Its description in RNAcentral is "partial 16S ribosomal RNA". It matches the Rfam family "Bacterial small subunit ribosomal RNA", at positions 28 to 507 of the family's 1533-position model. The record is from RNAcentral.